GUUGAACUAUCUCACAGUAACUCGAUAUUGCAUAUGCAGUUUGUAUUGUCAGUCAAUUUAUGUUGCCUCCAACCAUCCAUCAUUGGGCAGCUCUUGAACAGAUCUUGUGCUACUUAAAAGAGCUCCUGGACAUGGUAUAUUGUACAAGAAUCAUGGACACACUAGAGUGUUUUAUAGAAGCAGACUGGACAGGAUUGAAAGUUGACUAAAGGUCCACUACAGGAUAUUGUGUAUUCAUUGGAGGAAAUUUGGUGUCGUGGAAGAGUAAGAAAAAUAAUGAUGUAUCCCGAUCCAGUGCCAAAUCAGAAUAUAUAGUCAGGGCUCAGUUUGUUUGUGAAAUCAUGCGGAUACAUCAUCUCAUGAUUGAAAUAGGCCUGAAGUCUUCAUUACCAGCAAAAUUAUGGUGCAAUAAUCAGGCUGAUCUGCAUAUUGCCUCAAAUCCAAUAUUUCAUGAACCAACAGAACACAUAAAGUUGAUUGGCAUUUCGUUCAUGAAAAAAUGCAAGAGCUGAUAUCUACCAUUUACCUAAAAACUGAAAAUCAACUUCGUAACAUUUUCACAAAAGCUCUCUGUUAUGCGCCUUGGCGUAAGAUCUAGUCACAGGUCUAGACGAGAAAGAAUUCUUGCUUCGACCUAUGGUUACUCACAAAGGCAGAUUCGUCCUUGACUGAACCCCCUCUCAAAAUAACGUUUCUUUAGAUAGAAUAAUUGCUUACCUCUUUAUUUCAUAUUGACAGCCUUUUAUAGACUGUUAAUAACAAAUGAAAGAGUCCUAAUUGACAUAAAAUAGAAUUCCUAACUUAGAGUUUAUGAAGGAAACAAAAACCUAAUAUAGUAAAACUAAAACUCUUAGUAAAACCUGAUAUAAUAAAUAAAUAAAUAAAACUAAAAACUCCUAUUGCAAUUAAAGUGUCCAUAUCAUUACUCCCCUUCUCGGAAUUGAGCUUGUCCUCAAGCUCAAAUUCAAAAUAAACUUCAGAACUUAUCCAAAAUCAUCUAUCUCAUCAUCAUCUUGCUUGCCUUCAACAUCUGGUACUUCUAUCCAAAAUAACCUUUUACAUUUGUGUCCCAUGGAAUAAGACUCGUCACAAUUAUAACACAGCCCUUUAGCCCUUCUUUCUGCCAUUUCUAUCCGUGUCAAUCUCUUAAUAAAUGGUGCAGAAGAACCUAUUUUGCCAUUGUUCCCUGUUGGUUCUACUGUUUGUCCCCCUCCCUUUGCAAUGUUCUGAGUUGUUGGAAUGAUUGAAUUGCUGUCAGUGUUUUGGGAAGUUGACCAGUUUAGAUUGGUUUGAGAUAACAUCUUGGAAGAGACUUUUUGUUUACGUUCCAAAGCUCGAGUCAUAUUCAUUGCAUCUCAAUAUCAAUUCUAUGUUCCUUUAUCAAUCCAGCAGUAAAAAGGUUUACUUGUUGUCGAGGUUUAAGAUCAGUAGUCCUAACAAGUAGUGAUUGAAAUUGGCGUUGAUAUUCUUCUACCGUCCCAGUUUGUCUCAAGUUUGCAAGUUCCCCCCCAAAGGGUUAUUACUCAUAGGUGGCCCAAACCUGAUAUGACAACAUUCUCUGAAGCGUUCCCAAUCCAGAUUUGCCUCCUCUUCUUCGAUUUGAUCAAAUCAUAAUUGUGCCUCUUCUAAAAGAUGGAAUGAAGCUAGGCUGACUUUAUCUUCUUCGUUGGUCCGUUGAUUGCCAAAAAAAAUUUCGCAUCUUUUUAACCAUCCUAAAGGAUCUCCAACCCCAUCAUAAGUGGGAAAUUCCAUCUUAGAGUAUCGUGACACCAUGGCCCCACCGUGUUGCGAAUCUGAAUUUCUUUUCUUGCCUCCAUUGCUACCUUGUUCUUCAUUAUUUUUUUCUGAAUCCUUUUUUGUUGUCUUUUGGACCGAAAGAGAUAACAUCGCCACCUGCUCCUCUAAUGCUUGUUGCCUUGUAGCCAUUUGUUCCAUGAAUGCCUCCAGCUUGGCCGUCAAAGUUUUUUCGUCACCCAUGACAGCUGGCUCCGAUACCAAGUUGUUGUGCGCCUUGGCGUAGGAUCUAGUCAUAGGUCUAGACGAGAAAAAAUUCUUGCUUCGACCUAUGGUUACUCAAAAAGGCAGAUUCGUCCUUGACUGAACCCCCUCUCAAAAUAACGUUUCUUUUGAUAGAAUAAUUGCUUACCUCUUUAUUUCAUAUUGGCAGUCUUUUAUAGACUGUUAAUAACAAAUGAAAAAGUCCUAAUCGACAUAAAAUAGAAUUCCUAACUUAGAGUUUAUGAAGGAAACAAAAACCUAAUAUAGUAAAACUAAAACUCUUAGUAAAACCUGAUAUAAUAAAUAAAUAAAUAAAACUAAAAACUCCUAUUGCAAUUAAAGUGUCUAUAUCACUCUCUUCGAGAAUCAGGUUCAAUUUCUAUGUAACAAGCUAGGCAUGAUUACUAUUUAUGCUCCAGCUUGUGGGGGAGAGUUAACAGGUUGUAAAUAUGUUGUACUGUAAGUUUCUUGCAUUUAGGGAUUCUAGCAGAUAAUUAGGAUUAAAUUUUGUACUCUUUCCU
RNAcentral lists this long non-coding RNA (2519 nucleotides) under Gossypium barbadense (sea-island cotton). RNAcentral's name for it is "long non-coding RNA (GBAR_LNC007105)". Lineage: Eukaryota; Viridiplantae; Streptophyta; Magnoliopsida; Malvales; Malvaceae. The record is from RNAcentral.